This 73-nucleotide transfer RNA is filed under the name Paludisphaera mucosa. RNAcentral describes it as "tRNA-Thr". It matches the Rfam family "tRNA". Rfam says of the family: Transfer RNA (tRNA) molecules are approximately 80 nucleotides in length. Their secondary structure includes four short double-helical elements and three loops (D, anti-codon, and T loops). Further hydrogen bonds mediate the characteristic L-shaped molecular structure. tRNAs have two regions of fundamental functional importance: the anti-codon, which is responsible for specific mRNA codon recognition, and the 3' end, to which the tRNAs corresponding amino acid is attached (by aminoacyl-tRNA synthetases). tRNAs cope with the degeneracy of the genetic code in two manners: having more than one tRNA (with a specific anti-codon) for a particular amino acid; and 'wobble' base-pairing, i.e. permitting non-standard base-pairing at the 3rd anti-codon position. The record is from RNAcentral. Lineage: Bacteria; Pseudomonadati; Planctomycetota; Planctomycetia; Isosphaerales; Isosphaeraceae.
GCGCCAGGGGGUCCGUAAGGACGGACGCCGCCCUCGUAAGGCGGAGGAGCGGGUUCGAUCCCCGCCCGGCGCU